Molecule: unclassified non-coding RNA, 2124 nt
Filed under: Hevea brasiliensis (rubber tree)
Lineage: Eukaryota; Viridiplantae; Streptophyta; Magnoliopsida; Malpighiales; Euphorbiaceae
Source: RNAcentral
AACCACCGUUGCGCCGCCGCCCUCCUCCCUCCUCCGUCGCUGUUCCCGGCAGUUGUUCGAGUUACCGGUAGUAAAUAGCCAUGGAUGAUAGUUUAUAUGAUGAGUUUGGGAACUAUAUUGGUCCUGAAAUAGAGUCUGAUCAGGAAAGUGAUAGGGAAGAGGAAGACGAUGAGCUGCCUGAUAGGAGUGAUGAUGAGAGAGCUGUAUCUGAUGAUGAGCAGCCUGGUGCUUCAAAUGGAUGGCUUGCCACUCAAGAUGAUAUUGACAUGGAUAACCAAGUUGUUCUUGCUGAAGACAAGAAAUACUACCCAACUGCUGAAGAGGUUUAUGGUGAAGAGGUUGAAACGUUGGUCAUGGAUGAAGAUGAACAGCCACUUGAAAUGCCAAUAAUUAAACCAGUGAAGAAUCUUAAGUUUGAACUUGGGGUGAAGGAUUCGUCCACUUAUGUAUCGACUCAGUUUCUCUUAGGUCUGAUGUCAAACCCAGCAUUGGUUAGAAAUGUUGCUCUAGUGGGACACAUACAUCACGGGAAGACUUUGUUUAUGGAUAUGCUGGUGGAACAAACACACCAUAUAUCUACGUUUGAUCAGAAUAGUGAGAAGCAUAUGAGGUAUACAGACACAAGAAUAGAUGAGCAAGAGAGGAGGAUAUCAAUUAAGUCUGUCCCUAUGUCACUAGUCUUGGAAGACAGCAAUUCAAAGUCUUACCUGUGUAACAUUAUGGAUGCUCCCGGCCAUGUCAACUUCUCCGAUGAAAUGACUGCUGCUUUAAGACUUGCUGAUGGGGCAGUUUUGAUUGUUGAUGCAGUUGAAGGAGUGAUGGUAAAUACAGAAAGGGCCAUUAGGCAUGCGAUUCUAGAACGUAUUCCCAUUGUUCUUGUAAUCAACAAGGUUGAUAGAUUGAUAACUGAGCUUAAGUUGCCCCCGAAGGACGCCUACUUCAAACUAAAGCACAUAGUUGAAACUGUCAACAGUCAAAUUACAGCUGCCUCGUCCACCGCUGGAAAUGCACAAGUAAUUGAUCCUGCAUUAGGGAAUGUCUGCUUUGCAAGUGCAACAGCAGGAUGGUCAUUCACUCUGCAGUCAUUUGCCAAACUGUAUGUUAAGCUUCACGGAAUUGCAUUUGAUGCAAACAAGUUUGCUUCGCGGCUUUGGGGGGACUUCUACUUUGAUCCUGAUACAAGAAGUUUCAAGAAGAAACCUCCUGCAAGUGGGGUUGAAAGAUCUUUUGUUCAGUUUGUGCUUGAACCUCUUUACAAGAUUUAUAGCCAAGUGAUCGGAGAGCACAAGAAGAGUGUUGAAGCAACCCUAGCGGAACUUGGGGUGACACUAAGCAAUGCAGCUUAUCGUCUAAAUGUAAGGCCUCUGCUGAGGCUGGCUUGCAGUGCUGUAUUUGGAACUGCCACUGGGUUUACUGACAUGUUGGUUCAUCACAUCCCUUCUGCUAAAGCUGCUGCAGCUAGGAAAGUGGAACACAUAUACACGGGUCCAAAGGAUUCAGCAAUUUACAAAGCAAUGGAAAAUUGUGAUUCUGCUGGCCCGUUGAUGGUUAAUGUGACGAAGCUGUAUCCGAAACCAGAUUGUAGUGUUUUCGAUGCUUUUGGUAGGGUUUACAGCGGGGAAAUAAUGACAGGGCAGACGGUACGCGUUCUUGGUGAGGGCUAUUCACCUGAUGAUGAAGAGGAUAUGACUGUAAAAGAAGUUACAAAGCUGUGGGUAUAUCAAGCUAGAUACAGGAUCCCCAUAAGUAAGGCUCCUCCAGGUGCAUGGGUUCUGAUCGAAGGAGUGGAUGCUUCAAUCAUGAAAACUGCUACUCUUUGUAAUCUGGAAUUUGAUGAGGAUGUAUACAUAUUUCGCCCUCUUCAGUUUAAUACUCUUCCUGUGGUGAAAACAGCUACUGAACCUUUGAAUCCUAGCGAAUUGCCCAAAAUGGUGGAGGGGCUUAGGAAAAUCAGCAAGAGUUAUCCUCUUGCAAUCACAAAGGUUGAAGAGUCGGGUGAACACACGAUAUUAGGUACUGGUGAAUUGUACCUAGAUUCUAUAAUGAAGGACCUUAGGGAGCUUUACUCCGAGGUGGAAGUGAAGGUGGCUGAUCCAGUUGUCUCAUUCUGUGAAACUGUGGUGG